GCAUUUGUAGGAAGACAAAGACAUUUUAUUUUAGUACCAGUUGAGUUAAUUUUAAUAGUGAUAUUUUGUGCAAUAUUUUUAUGUAUGAGACAAAAGUAUUUCAUACCAUGUUGAGGGGUCUCAUGAAAGGAUUUUUCUCUGAUGACUGAGAUUGAUCUGGAAUACGUUUGGAUCUAGAUUUGGAUUUUCUACAUUUCACACUUCGACAGCACCUUUUUGG
Long non-coding RNA from Ctenocephalides felis (cat flea), 220 nucleotides. RefSeq lists it as uncharacterized. The transcript has 3 exons. The record is from RefSeq and is a predicted model, not a curated record. NCBI's taxonomy places the organism in Eukaryota, Metazoa, Arthropoda, Insecta, Siphonaptera, Pulicidae.